UACGUAGGGUCCGAGCGUUAAUCGGAAUUACUGGGCGCAAAGCGUGCGCAGGCGGUUUUGUAAGCCAGAUGUGAAAUCCCCGGGCUUAACCUGGGAAUGGCAUUUGGGACUGCAAGGCUUGAGUGCGGCAGAGGGGGGUGGAAUUCCACGUGUAGCAGUGAAAUGCGUAGAGAUGUGGAGGAACACCGAUGGCGAAGGCAGCCCCCUGGGUCGACACUGACGCUCAUGCACGAAAGCGUGGGGAGCAAACAGG
RNAcentral lists this ribosomal RNA (253 nucleotides) under uncultured bacterium. Its description in RNAcentral is "partial 16S ribosomal RNA". It matches the Rfam family "Bacterial small subunit ribosomal RNA", at positions 524 to 776 of the family's 1533-position model. The record is from RNAcentral.